UACGUAGGGGCCGAGCGUUGUCCGGAUUCAUUGGGCGUAAAGAGCGUGUAGGCGGCCGCUUAAGUCCUGCGUGAAAUCCCGGAGCUCAACCCCGGAACUGCACUGGAUACUGCCAUGCUUGAGUACUGGAGAGGAGAUUGGAAUUUACGGUGUAGCAGUGAAAUGCGUAGAUAUCGUAAGGAAGACCAGUGGCGAAGGCGGAUCUCUGGACAGUUACUGACACUGAGGCACGAAGGCCAGGGGAGCAAACCGGG
RNAcentral lists this ribosomal RNA (254 nucleotides) under uncultured bacterium. RNAcentral's name for it is "partial 16S ribosomal RNA". It matches the Rfam family "Bacterial small subunit ribosomal RNA", at positions 524 to 777 of the family's 1533-position model. The record is from RNAcentral.